Molecule: long non-coding RNA, 1574 nt
Filed under: Aquilegia coerulea
Lineage: Eukaryota; Viridiplantae; Streptophyta; Magnoliopsida; Ranunculales; Ranunculaceae
Description: long non-coding RNA (ACOE_LNC001585)
Source: RNAcentral
UUUUCUAUUUCUUUUCUCUCUUCGUUUUUCUUCUGCUUCCUAGCGUUCCUCUGAGCUUUUCCCUCCUUCUCAGUUGGCGUUCUCUUCAGCUUAGGCGGUUUCGGACAAUCCUUACGUUGAAAAACAGGCUUACGAUAAUCACCAAUAUCCAAACCACCCAAGUCAAUAUUAUGAUCACCGUUAACCUGUGCCUCCGUCAACCGAUUCAGAACAGAGUACAACGGAGGAUCGUGCUUCCCAAGAAUCACUUCGAAAGGAGCAUCUAUAUGACCUCCGAUGUUCGAGCUAUGACAAUCGACAACUGCCACAAACAAAAAGAUUAACACAUCAAACAGGAAUCCUUCAGCUAUAGAAAAAGCAAACCAAAACCAAUUCUUAACUUACUUUUAGGGUCCCGAUUGAAUGACCAGUAUUUCAAUUCAACAUACACACCCUCACCCUUUCCCCCAAAAUGCCCACUAACCACCAAGGGAAAGUUGGGCCAACUUUUAUCACUACUAACAAUUUUUGGAUAACCGAGAAUCGGCGGGUGCGACGAACAAAGUGGUAAUAAUCGACACCUACUCGGUCAUCAUUCUUCCUCAAAUAAUACACUUGCCUAAUGUCACCAAGAUGAAUACUGUAACCUUUGCGGUUUAAGGUAUUAAUAGCUCGCAUGACCCUCCAGAAGUUCCCGGUCCCCUGAUCGGGAGCUAUACAGUAAAAAAUCAGAACUUGUAUAUCGAGAGGGGUCAGCGGAAAUCGAAGGCCACGGGCGAUUUGGUACGCGGUGACCAUAAUGGUAUCUGGGGCCACGUCAUGAUGAGAGAAUCUCAAUGACGGUAGAUAAUGUUCUAACUUGACCUUAUCGGGUACUCCAUAUACAGUACUGAGCAAACCUAAAUUCGGCCGCCACUCGAAAGAAAUGGGAUUGAACACAUCUAAGAAGUAAGUACUGUCAGCUCUCUUGCGCACCGACCCUUCGGAUAUCGAUAGAGAAGUUUCUCUUCCAGAAACCGUUGGCCCCUCGUUUUCUUUUUCUUUUCCUUUUUUCUCUUUAUCUCUCCCACCAGCCAUGACUGUCGGUUUCGCGAUAACGGAGAACAAAGGUGGGGGCGCCAAGGGUCAACCUCACGGGUUCCUAGAAAAGAAACCGGAAAUCAAAGGGGAGACCAAGUAUUUCUACUCCAAAUUUAAAAGGUUUAAACAAAGGAAAAUCCCUAAGAGAGCUAGCCAAAUCGACUGGAUUUGCAAGCAAAUGAAGAAGAUUACAGCACACAUAUCAAACAACUUAUAUGAAUCUAACGAUACAGUAUAAUCAACUGACAAUCUUAACCCUUUAUUCCAUUCCUUGAUGCAGUUUUCCUUUUCAGAAAGAAAUCUUAAUAAAAUCGUUGAGAUCUCGACAAAAUCCUAGGUGUUCAGAAUUCAAAAGUCUCGAUUAUCUUAAAUAACUACUAUGCAGAAAAGAGAAAAAGAAGAAUGGAACUGACCUGCUUACACCAGCGAAGAAGAAGCUCGAAGAAGAAGCUGAAAUCCCAAGGAAAGUUAGAAAAAAACAGGAAAAAGUGAAGAAGAAGACGAAGAUGAAAAUA